GUUCAGAUAGCUUAAUUGGUAGAGCAACCCAGGCCGGUAUCAUUAGGCCGGGUGGUUCGGGUUCGAAUCCCGAUCUGACCU
This 81-nucleotide transfer RNA is filed under the name Dreissena polymorpha. It matches the Rfam family "tRNA". From Rfam's summary of the family: Transfer RNA (tRNA) molecules are approximately 80 nucleotides in length. Their secondary structure includes four short double-helical elements and three loops (D, anti-codon, and T loops). The record is from Rfam by way of RNAcentral. Lineage: Eukaryota; Metazoa; Mollusca; Bivalvia; Myida; Dreissenidae.